RNAcentral lists this ribosomal RNA (253 nucleotides) under uncultured bacterium. RNAcentral's name for it is "partial 16S ribosomal RNA". It matches the Rfam family "Bacterial small subunit ribosomal RNA", at positions 524 to 776 of the family's 1533-position model. The record is from RNAcentral.
UACGGGGAGGGUAAGCGUUGUUCGGAAUUACUGGGCGUAAAGGGCUCGUAGGCGGCCAACUAAGUCAUACGUGAAAUCCCUCAGCUUAACUGGGGAACUGCGUGUGAUACUGGAUGGCUUGGAUUUGGGAGAGGGAUGCGGAAUUCCAGGUGUAGCGGUGAAAUGCGUAGAUAUCUGGAGGAACACCGGUGGCGAAGGCGGCAUCCUGGACCAAUAUUGACGCUGAGGAGCGAAAGCCAGGGGAGCAAACGGG